This is a long non-coding RNA of Salarias fasciatus (jewelled blenny), 2309 nucleotides long. RefSeq lists it as uncharacterized. The transcript has 9 exons. The record is from RefSeq and is a predicted model, not a curated record. NCBI's taxonomy places the organism in Eukaryota, Metazoa, Chordata, Actinopteri, Blenniiformes, Blenniidae.
UUUGACUAAGAAACUGUGAGGAGGGUGGUAGGAACCCUGCACGCUAAAAAACUACAAAAUGUGCGGACUGCUUUACGGCAUGCGUCACUUCCCCUGUCGUUAUAAGGACAGAACUCCAGUGUGGGAUUUUGCAAACAUGGCGGAAGGUGGACAACAGAGAAAGAAGCCAAAAGUUUUGUCUGAGGAGGCAAAAAAAAAGAAAAAGAGAGGCUACUCGGAUAAAAGCACAGUCCAGGAUCAACAUUGGCCCGGCUUUCACUCGCUGGCGUGAGCUGAAAGAUCAGGAGGGAUUUCCGACCGACGCUGCCUUGGCUCUGUUCCUGCUGGACUACUAUCAAAAGGAGCAAGUAACUUCUACUCCCCACAAGCAACAUCUCCAACCACUGCAGCGUAUAGUUUCCAGCAUAACAGAAGAGGUCGGACCAUGAUAGGGGAGAACUGAUAGAGGGUGUCCAAAUCCUGGAAGAAGGCACUGGGGCAGAAGAAGCUGGUGUAUUAGAGGCCAGGUCCCAUGCUGUUUGCUCAUGGGCUCAGGCACAUUGCACAGGACUCACAUGGAACAGUAUGCUGAGUGGUGCAGGACAGAAGGGGAGGGACUUCUGUCACAAACAGUGCAUCACAGCUCAGACGGGCUGGUGCAGCCAGAGACCAGUCUGAAAUCUUGCCUUGGAUUAAAGACAUUGUGAACCAUUUCUGGUACUGUGCCAAGCAGGCAUCCACUGUCGAGCAGUUCAAGAUGAAAUGGCAUGCUGUAAUUCAUCACAUUCGGAACCAGCACACAUGGGCCACUGGAUCUUGUGAGCAUGAGCCACUGGGUGAAGAUACACAGGAAAAACCAUGGAUAAAACAAGGUUCAGCAGCUCACCAGGCUCUUGUAGCCAUCGUCCUGGAGAAGCGAUGAUUGAAGAAUGUUGUGAAGUUCAUCAACUUCAGGACAACAUCCGAUCUGGAAAGCUUCCAGAAUCACAUACUCAUGUAUGCAGGAAAGCGGUUCUCCUAUACUCCAGCAGUGUACCGGACGCGGACUCUGCUUGCUGCGAUAGACUACAACUGUGACAAUGGCCGCGCCCCGGCACGAAACAAAGAUGGACACAAGAUUUACAGACGAUGCUACAAUAAGAAGUCCAAAUCCUGGAGUGUCUGCACAGUGAAGGAAAAGAAGUACUCCUACAUUCAAGACCUGCAGAGAGGCAUUCUUCGGAAGAGGCUUGAAAAUGGAGGUGGCCUUCCCAAGACACAGACCCUGAGGCCAGAUGACCCCCGGAAUUUCGUGGUUCUGGCUUCAACACAGCCGCCACCAACAGCUGAGCUUGUGAGGACGCACGUGAAAUAUGGUGAAGGUGUUCCCCAAAGUGAACACUGACGAUCCUUCCUUGUCUGCUUUCAUAAAUGCACAUCAAUACAACAUAUCACUCUGACAGGCUGACUACAGACACAUAGUGACAGCUUUACUGGACCCCCACCCACACUGCUGCUACUGUACUUAUUGUAAUUGUUCUCAGUAACUUCUAACAUUGUCACACAGAUUAUUCAGUAUUUUUUUAUUUAUACUGUCAUAGUUUGUUCAAUCAAAACAUACACAUAUCCUGCCAUUGUAAAAAUGCACAUUGCAUUCACGCUAAGAGUGUGCAUGUGCCUGUUUUUCCUUUUUUCUCUAGGUCCUGUUUUAUUACUUACUCACUUUACUGUGAAGGAACAAGUGCCAAAGACAAAGUACUUGAAAUUUGAAAACAGUGAAAGAUGGUGUAUAAAUAAACGUUUGUCUUGUUUUGCACAGAUGUAUUUAUUUUGAAACACACACACAACAAGUGGACAGUCUAAAGGCAAAUUCUGUACAAAAAAAACUAUAAAAACUUAUUACAGUGCAGUCAAACAAUGACACGCUACAUUAGUCUGCGGACCAGGAAUCCGGUGUACUGCCCCCUUGGGUCUGGAAAACUCUCUCCAGGUCAGUGUUCAUCUCGUUACAGUUUGCGCAGGAGCACCGAUGUAGAUCACCUCCACCUGGGACUCUCUGACGAUUAGGGUCCUCCAGCAGGUCCAAAAUGUCGAACACCAAGCCAGGUGUUGAAAGGAACACUUAUAGGAGCUCUCCCCUCUGAUUGUGGUCCAGUGCUUGUAUUCUGGCUUGCAUCUCUCUGUUUCUGCGUUCGUGCAGAUCCUGUACUCUCUGCUGGGUCUCGGGGUUCAAGUCUUCUGGUGUCCUACUUCUCCCUCUGCCCCUCCCUCUGCCAGCACUAGUGCGUGGGGGCUCACACUCAGAAGAGGUGGAGGUAGUUUCUGGGACAGGGAAUUCCUGAAAAAAAAAA